RNAcentral lists this ribosomal RNA (250 nucleotides) under uncultured prokaryote. RNAcentral's name for it is "partial 16S ribosomal RNA". It matches the Rfam family "Bacterial small subunit ribosomal RNA", at positions 524 to 773 of the family's 1533-position model. The record is from RNAcentral.
UACGUAGGGGGCGAGCGUUGUCCGGAAUUACUGGGUGUAAAGGGAGCGCAGGCGGGGAAGCAAGUCAGCUGUGAAAUCCAUGGGCUUAACCCAUGAACUGCAGUUGAGACUGUUUUUCUUGAGUGAAGUAGAGGUAGGCGGAAUUCCGAGUGUAGCGGUGAAAUGCGCAGAUAUUCGGAGGAACACCGGUGGCGAAGGCGGCCUACUGGGCUUUUACUGACGCUGAGGCUCGAAAGUGUGGGGAGCAAAC